CAUAUGGAUUCCUACGGGAGGCAGCAGUGAGGAAUAUUGGACAAUGGAUGGAAAUCUGAUCCAGCCAUGCCGCGUGCAGGAAGACGGCCCUAUGGGUUGUAAACUGCUUUUGUAUGGGAGCAAUAAGGUCUAUGCGUAGACUGAUGAGAGUACCAUACGAAUAAGCAUCGGCUAACUCCGUGCCAGCAGCCGCGGUAAUACGGGGGAUGCAAGCGUUAUCCGGAUUUAUUGGGUUUAAAGGGUGCGUAGGCGGUUUGAUAAGUCAGCGGUGAAAUAUUUCAGCUUAACUGAAAGGGUGCCGUUGAUACUGUCAGGCUUGAAUAUGGUUGCUGUGGGUGGAAUGUGUGGUGUAGCGGUGAAAUGCUUAGAUAUCACACAGAAUAUCGAUUGCGAAGGCAGCUCACAAAGCCAUUAUUGACGCUGAUGCACGAAAGUGUGGGGAUCAAACAGGAUUAGAUACCCUGGUAGUCCACACUGUAAACGAUGAUAACUCGCUGUCGGCGAUACACAGUCGGUAGCCAAGCGAAAGCGAUACGUUAUCCACCUGGGGAGUACGACCGCAAGGUUGAAACUCAAAGGAAUUGACGGGGGCCCGCACAAGCGGAGGAACAUGUGGUUUAAUUCGAUGAUACGCGAGGAACCUUACCCGGGCUCGAACGGUGCAGGAAUACGUCAGAGAUGAUGUAGCUAGCAAUAGUCUGUAUCGAGGUGCUGCAUGGUUGUCGUCAGCUCGUGCCGUGAGGUGUCGGCUUAAGUGCCAUAACGAGCGCAACCCUUGUCGUUAGUUGCCAUCAGGUAAUGCUGGGAACUCUAGCGAGACUGCCACCGUAAGGUGUGAGGAAGGGGGGGAUGACGUCAAAUCAGCACGGCCCUUACGUCCGGGGCGACACACGUGUUACAAUGGUAGGUACAGAGGGCAGCUACCCAGCAAUGGGGUGCGAAUCUCAAAAGCCUAUCUCAGUUCGGAUCGGAGUCUGCAACUCGACUCCGUGAAGUUGGAUUCGCUAGUAAUCGCGCAUCAGCCAUGGCGCGGUGAAU
This 1038-nucleotide ribosomal RNA is filed under the name uncultured bacterium. RNAcentral describes it as "bacterial SSU rRNA". It matches the Rfam family "Bacterial small subunit ribosomal RNA", at positions 328 to 1367 of the family's 1533-position model. The record is from RNAcentral.